RNAcentral lists this ribosomal RNA (282 nucleotides) under Ixodes frontalis. RNAcentral describes it as "partial large subunit ribosomal RNA". The record is from RNAcentral. Lineage: Eukaryota; Metazoa; Arthropoda; Arachnida; Ixodida; Ixodidae.
CAAUUAAUAACUUUCUUUAUUUUAAAAAUUAAAUUUAAUUUUUUUGUGAGGAAGCAAAAAUAUAAAUUAGGGACAAGAAGACCCUAUGAAUUUUUUAAUUAAUAUUUAUGUUAAUUGUUAAUUUAAUAUUAAUUUUGUUGGGGCGACAGAAAAAGAAUAAUUAUCUUUUACUAAUAAGUUAAUUUGGAUCCAUUAUUUAGUGAUUUAAUGAGAAAAAUACUCUAGGGAUAACAGCGUAAUAAUUUUGGAUAGUUCUUAUAGAUAAAAUAGUUUGCGACCUCG